AAAAUAAAGUCAUGUCUAUCUCUUUGUUGAUGAAAGGAGUGAUGCUAGAGUUGAAGAGCCCAGAGUGAUCAGAGAGCAGCCUUUAUAGGUACAGCCGUGAGGUGAUAGCUUCACGAGACGGUCCAUCUUUGACUGUAUGAUCGCCGGUUCGAUCCCGGUUUUCUUCUGGAGGCGUACAACCUACCUAUAGUACAAGUGGCAUUUACCAAAAGACCCGAAAUCGUACUCCGUUUUCAUUGAUAGAAGGGCUGUGAACAACGGAACCUCAAUUCGAGCCAUUUUGGAAGGGCUGGGAGAGGAAAGAGUGAAGAGGAUGAAAGAUAAGAUAGUCGAGUAUAUAAGUUUGUGUACGCCGCCCCCAAAGAGGGGUUGGCCGGUAUGAAGGAUGCGUUUGAUGUUUCCUUGGAAGGGUACUGAGAAGAUUCCAGGAGCAGAGAAGGACAUAAAUGGAAUUAAAAAAUUGGGAAUGGGAGAUCUUGUAUGUUGUAUUUUGUACUUCUCUUGGGUGGGGUAUAUUAAUGGAGGGACAGGAUGUUGAAGUAGAUUGGUGGACGGUUGGAUGGAUGUGGUUGGUGGAUUUUAUAUUAAUUGGUUAGCUGCAAAGACAGUUAUUAGUUGCUAC
Magnolia sinica is the source of this 622-nucleotide long non-coding RNA. RefSeq lists it as uncharacterized. Lineage: Eukaryota; Viridiplantae; Streptophyta; Magnoliopsida; Magnoliales; Magnoliaceae. The transcript has 2 exons. The record is from RefSeq and is a predicted model, not a curated record.